CCUGGCUAAGUUUUUAAAAAAUUUUUUUGUAGAGAUGGGGUCUCAUUAUGUGGCCCAGGUUGGUCUUGAACUCCUGGCUCAAACGAUCUUCCUCUGCCUCGGCCUCCCAAAGUGCUGGGAUUUCAGGCAUGAGCCACCGGGCCCAGCCACAAAGAUUUUUUAAGAUGAACACUGCCCAGCAUUGAUCAAGAUAUGGGAGAAGCAAUACAGGUUGGGGGUCUUUCACUCAGGAAUUUCAUCAUCUUCUGCUUUUAAGAAACAGCACAAAGUGAUCCCAUGCUGGCAAAUCGUCAGGGUCAUUCCUGC
This 306-nucleotide long non-coding RNA is filed under the name Pan troglodytes (chimpanzee). RNAcentral describes it as "long non-coding RNA NONPTRT004114". Lineage: Eukaryota; Metazoa; Chordata; Mammalia; Primates; Hominidae. The record is from RNAcentral.